Molecule: unclassified non-coding RNA, 225 nt
Filed under: Hevea brasiliensis (rubber tree)
Lineage: Eukaryota; Viridiplantae; Streptophyta; Magnoliopsida; Malpighiales; Euphorbiaceae
Source: RNAcentral
ACACGCAAGCGCGUGCUUGAAAACGCGCGAUCACAUCGAAAGCGUUGGUAAACAGCGCCUCCAGCAAGGUGGUAAAGAUCGCGUCAACAGAAUGAGUGAACGCGAAUUGACGCAGUUCCAUUUUUACCUAACUCACAGGUUGUCAUCACCGGGCUUGUCCCGGUGAUCCCGAUAGAUCGGGCACCGUGCUCCCAUAAUCGGGAUGGCCGGAACAAGUCCGGCCAU